AAGUUAUUAAUUGCAAGGUUAAUAUCCAGUUAUGUUAGUUUCAAUAUUUGCUCGACACCUUAACAAAAAAACUUAACUAACAUCCCGAGCUAGACUAUGAUAUCAAGUUUUACAUAACAUUCUUAGCAAAAUAAUAAUGAGCUUGUGUAUCUUCCAAACUUGCAUCUUGACUUGUAGCUUCAAUCUUCAAAACCUAUAAAUACAAAAUUUUGAAAAGACGAUGAAUAAUUAUUGGUAAAACAAUGUAUAUGUUAAUUUACAAUAGUAAUGGUUAAGCCGCUUACCCCCAAAAGGAGUCAAAAUUCAUCAGGUGUUAUCCAGCAAUAUCAACAAGGCUACAUGAAUAUAGAAAGUUAAUUAGAAAAAAUUUGGAACGAUAAAUCAAACUUCGGUCAGAUUGACCACUGUCUAUACAUAGUCCUUUUUUUCUCUCUUAUCAUUCACAAAUUAUCAAACAUAUCUGUCAGAUUCAGAGCCAAAGUCACCACUCCACUCAAGGAACAAGCCUUAGAUUGUAUACUUGAAACACAAACUUUGGGAGUAAAUUUAUACUUGUCAGGAACUAAGAGAGUCGAACUUCAUUCACAUAAAUCAAGUGAUAACAUGUUGACUAAUUAAAUCUAAGAACAAUUACAAAUAUAAGGAGAAAGAUCAGAACACUACUGCUGAGAUAGUGAUAAUGAUCUAUUAUGGAAAGGAACAACAUGAAAGUUUGGUCGGAAGGAAUGGUGAUAAUGAUCUAUUAUUACCUACUACUAAGAUGACCAAGGUGGAAAGGUUACAAGGAGAUGCCAGGGAUCUAUUAUACAGCUACUACUGGUUCAUUGAAUGUUGCUACUGAUCUAGUUGUUACUUCAAACAAGAUUGUGCAGCCUAUGAAUGGUGUUUCACAGGUUGUGAAUGCAAGUUUGGAGACUACUAGUACUGUGAAUGGAACAGGAGUGAAUGUUACAGUUGCUACAGGUGAUAAGGCAGGGACCAAGGAUGCUAAGCUGCCUACAAAUUUGGUUGAGAAUCAGACUACUGCUGGUAUUCAAGCAGCUCGUUUGAAUGCACCUACGGAUCGUGCUGCUUCUAGGUUUGGUGCUACUAAUUGUGCUACUAAAGGUGAUACUGGAUUUCAUGACAAGGGAGAUGAUCGUGAAGUACUACACGAUUUCCAGGAGUAAUUGUGAAGCUAUAGGGAAUGCUGGUGGACUAAAGAAUGUCGAUAAGGUUUGGUCAGUUGUAUCACCUUGCAAAAGGGCUGCUACAGAUCAUAAAAAGCAGGAAUUUGCAGCAGCAAAAUAUUAGGUGUACUAAUUCUUUUGAUGCUUUGGUCAUUGAACAAGAAGAUGGCGAGAAUGAUGCUCGGUAGAAUAGUAGUAUUGUGUGCAAGUGCACAAGCUGGUCCCGAGACCACUGCUACAAAAAAUAAAAAUAUUGAUGCAGGCAUGCCCACUUCUAGAGGAUAUUUUAACAUUACUGCUUCAAGUUUAUGAUACUUAGUUGAAGUAAAAGAUAGAUGUACCUAAACAGAGAAAUAAAAGAAAGUUUGUACACUUCCAAUAGCUAUUCAAUGACAUUGAUUACCAUAGCAAGAAAGAAGACACAGUAAGAGUAAUCUGAGUAGUUCUUAUAUUCCAAUUCCUUAAAAUUUCGCCACCUGAUACAACCAUUUAUCAAUCAUUUUUUGCACCAUCUCCUAACCUGUCCCUAAUAGAUAAAAUAAAACUCAAGAAAAUCCCCAAAUAAAGGACAAGAAAAAAGAUCUAAAAGAAUCAGAGAAAGUUUUAGUACUUCAUCAGUUUCUGGAGAUAACAUAUACAUAUUACACUUGAGGAACUAGCUACUUAGUAAAUUUAUAGGAUAUCAAAAGAAUUUGAUAACUUUUAUUAUUAUUAUUAUUAUUAUAGAGAAUUUGAUAAUUUUCUCUGCCUCCUAAAAAUAUUUGAAAAUAAAAAAAACUUGAUAUUUUUCCUUAAGUUGUCCUAGCAAUGCUUACAUAAUCACCACGCAGAAAUAAUAAAACAUCGACUUUGUAAUGAGAUUAUGGCAUCUAAUUUCUUUUUCUACUCGGAAAUCUGGAGAAAAAAAUCAGGAUAUCAAAUAAGGUUAAUUUAGCACUAAAAUUUAAGGUUGUCACUACUGCAAAGUUGUUUUUCUUAAUUUCCAAAUACAAUCAUCUCAUGGUUGAUAUAAAAAUUAUCUGCUUCCACAGUAUUGGAAAAGGAAAAUCUCUUGAACUUAAUAUUACUUCGAAUAUAUAAUAUUUAGUAAUAUAAUGUUCAUCAGAUCAGAGGAUACAAUAUCUUCUAUUGGGUGAAUAAUAAUUAAUUGUUUGAUUUAUUUAAUUUUCUGUCCAUCUACUAAAAAUUGCUUGCUUAUACGACAGAAUGCAUGACAUUGCAACUAGAAGGAAGUAAAUGUUAACUGUCUUUGACCACAUUUAAGUUGUUUUAACCACUGAAUUUGGAGGUCUAUUGGAGAUGCUCCCCACAAAUAAUGAGUGGCCACACACGAAAUUUGUAAGCAUAAGUUCUGCCAGAUGAUAAACUACAAAUUGACCAAACAAUUCUAGCAACAAGAAGGGAAAAAUGGCAUAUGCAGUAGACAAAUCAUAUCCUGAGGCUCAUUUUACUCAGGUUCAGAACAAUAGCAUAUGCAGUAGUAAUUUCAUAUGUAAAAUAGCAGUUAGACUCACACAUAUAAUUGACUGAUAUAACAAAAUACCUGCAACAAACAUAACUAAUCAACUAAAUUAGUAAUUUGACAUCUAUCACAACAUAGCCACAUUUCACAGUAAUAUACUUUCCAGUUUCAUCACGCUUAAAAUGCACAGGCAUACUCUUAACUACAUUUGUUACCUCAAUAGCUACCUACAUGUGAUUCAACUUUUCUUGUUUAAUAUCAUUCCACGAUGAUACUCCCAAAUGACAUAUAUUGCUUAAUAUCAUUCCACGAUUAAGUAGGCUUCAUCAAGCCGAUUGUCAACAAGUUGCAUCCAUUGCUUACUAGGUGCCAUAACGUUGGAGAGUAGAUAAAAAUUAGAUUAAAAAAAGAUAAAUGACAAGGAAAAUACUAAGAUGAACACAACUUAUAACGAUUAGAUGCACAGUUGUGUUGAACUCUAAGGUCGCAAUAGGUGAUUAGGCUCUUUUUUUUCAGUUAAUGCUUUGUAUUGUACAAUCAAAUGGAACUAAGAUAAAUAAAAUAUUAUAAAUCAACUUGUAAUUAAGAUGCUAGCUCCUGAAACAUGUAUACAUGGUUCCUUCUGGCCUGCCCCAAGAUCGAAGUAAGUACUUAAACCCAAAAAAAUGCAAACAAUAUAAUUUGCGACACAAGAUCAUCAAAAAUAUCGAUAGCAACUAAAAAUACUGUUUGUUAGUAAUUGGUGUGAGAUCGUGAAUUUCUCUGAACUAUUGCUCAUGUUAUGGAAAAGACAAAAUAUGAAGACUCUGACAUCAAAUUGAAAGAACUCGAUCCAAAAUACCACUUCUCUUGCCAAUUCACAGCUGAUUCGGUUGCAAUGAAUUCAGCAGAUUUCAUUAUCACAAGCACAUAUCAAGAAAUAGCUGGAAGGUAAGAAUUGGAACUACGAAAGCAGAGAGCUAAUAAGUGUUGCGGAAGCCAAAUGUAUAUAGUGUGAAUAAGUCACAACUACUAUACCAAAAAUUAUGACAGCCACCAAAUAAGACAAUAAAGCAACAUUAAAGGAAACACCAAAAUUUACGAGGUUCGGCUAAUUUUGCCUACUCCUCGGACACAACCAAUAUUUUAUUCCACUCCAAAAAUACAAGUGAAAUAAUACUAAAGAGAGAAGAUACAAAUGCCUUAAACAGAUGAGAAGGCAAAUGAGAGGUGUGUCUAAAUCCUAAACAAGCCUCCUUUUAUAGGAAAAAGUUCCCCACCAACUCCUUAACCCACCGAUGUGGGAUGGAAAUUUGACAUAUAAUUCAACAAAUCUCCACCUUGGCAAAAUUCCACAUCUUCAAUUUUCUCUCGGUAACAAAUUUUGGUUGUGUCUUCAUCUUCAAUCUUCAGUGUUCAACAAUGUUGAUCAAAUCCAAACAAUGUUGAAACUUGAUCGUAGUCACCAUCUUUGUCAGCAUAUCAGCAGGAUUCUCUGUAGUAUGAAUUUUUUUCACCGUGACUCCACCUUCUUCUAUGAUUUCUCGUACAAAAUGAUACCGAAAAUCAAUGUGCUUCGUCCUUGCAUGAUAAACUUGGUUCUUCGCUAACUGAAUAGCACUUUGACUAUCACAAAAAAUUGUGAUACCUUUUUGUUCAACACCAAGCUCCUUUAGCAAUCCUUGAAGCCAAAUUGCCUCUUUUUCACAGCCUUUGUAAUAGCCAUGUACUUUGCCUCUGUUGUAGACAAAGCAACUGUUGACGGCAAAGUAGACUUCCAACUAACUGGUGCCUUUGCAAAAGUAAACACAUAACGAGUAGUUGAUCUUCGUUUGUCCAGAUUACCCGCAAAAUCUGAGUCACAAUAUCCAACUACAGACUGAUUGUCUUCCUGCUCAAAAACUAACCCGACAUCUACAGUAUUAUGAAUAUACCGUAGAAUCCACUUCACAUCUUGCCAAUGCUCCUUCCCUGGAUUGUGCAUACAUCUGCUAAUAACUCCAACAGCUUGUGAAAUGUCAGGCCUUGUGCAAACCAUUGCAUACAUCAGCUACCAACAGUAUUUGCGUAUGGUACCUUUGACAUAUACUCUCGUUCAGUUUCAUCCAUUGGCGACAUAGUAGUACUUAGCUUAAAAUGGGAAGCAAGUGGAGUAUUAACUGGCUUAGUCUUGUCAUCUAUGCCAAAACGUUGAAGUACUCUCUUCAAAUAUUCCUUUUGAGAUAAACAGAGUUUCUUUGAACGUCUAUCUCUAAUUAUCUCCAUGCCAAGAAUUUUCUUUGCCUCACCCAAAUCCUUCAUCUCGAACUCCUUCUUCAGUUGAAUCUUCAACUUAUCAAUUUCUUCCGAAUUCUUGGAAGCUAUUAACAUAUCAUCAACAUAUAGGAGAAGAUAUACAAAGGAACCAUCUUUAAGCUUGUGCAAAUACACACAAUGAUCGUAUUUGCUUCUCUUGUACCCUUGCCGCAACAUAAACUCGUCAAAUCGCUUGUACCAUUGUCUAGAAUAUUGUUUCAAUCCGUACAAUGAUUUUUCAAGUUUGCACACCAUAUUUUCUUUUCUAGUAACUUUGAAUCCUUCUGGUUGAGUCAUGUAGAUUUCCUCCUCCAAGUUUCCAUGUAAAAAUGCAGUUUUUACAUCCAUCUGAACUAGUUCCAAAUCCAAUUGUGCUAGCAAAGCCAACAUAAUUCUAAUGGAGGAAUGUUUUACAACUGGAGAAAACACUUCAUUGUAAUCAAUUCCCUCCUUUUGAGCAUAUCCUUUGGCCACCAAUCUUGCUUUGUAGCGAACAUCUACUUGGUUAGGAAAUCCUUCUUUCUUUGCAAAUACCCAUUUGCACCCAAUUGCUUUCUUUCCCUUCGGGAGAUUGGCCAAUCUCCAUGUAUAAUUCUGAUGAAGGGAAUGUAUUUCAUCAUUCAUGGCAAUCCUCCACUUAUCUUCUUCUAAACUUUGGACAGCGUCUUUAUAAAUGGUCGGAACAUCAUCGGCUACAAUUGAGGUUGCACAAGCAAGCGUCUCUAUGAGACGAACAGGUUUCGUUAUUGUUCUUUUUGGCUUGCUGGUUGCUAUUGAUUCAAGUUGUUGUUGAGGUUCCUGAGUUGGAAUCUCCUCUACUGGCUCUCCUUCCAGAGGGUAAUCUUCAUUUGUUUCCUCCUCUGCUUCUUGUGUAGGAAAAAUAAAUUUUCCCUCAAACUCCACCUGCUUAGAAGCACCUUUAUUUUGUUUGGUAUCUUCUGUUACCUUAUUUACCAUAGCAGAUUCAUCAAAGGUAACAUCCCUGCUGAAUAUUACUUUUUUUGUCAUAGGACACCAUAAGCGAUAUCUUUUGACUCCAGCAGUAAUUCCCAUAAAAAUAACCUUCUUUGCCCUUGGAUCCAAUUUUGACUCUGUCACAUGAUAAUAUGCAGUUGAGCCAAACACGUGCAAAGAGUCAUAAUCUACAGCAGGCUUUCUAUACCAUUUUUCAAAUGGUGUCUUGCCAUCAACAUCAGCAGAUGGUAAGCGAUUAAUGAGGUGGNNNNNNNNNNNNNNNNNNNNNNNNNNNNNNNNNNNNNNNNNNNNNNNNNNNNNNNNNNNNNNNNNNNNNNNNNNNNNNNNNNNNNNNNNNNNNNNNNNNNNNNNNNNNNNNNNNNNNNNNNNNNNNNNNNNNNNNNNNNNNNNNNNNNNNNNNNNNNNNNNNNNNNNNNNNNNNNNNNNNNNNNNNNNNNNNNNNNNNNNNNNNNNNNNNNNNNNNNNNNNNNNNNNNNNNNNNNNNNNNNNNNNNNNNNNNNNNNNNNNNNCCCAAUGAAGGUGUUUUGGAAGGACCCCAAACAUCAGAGUGUACAUAAUCCAAAAUGCCUUUAGUAUUAUGGAUCGUUGUACCAAAUUUAACCUUUGUUUGUUUCCCUUUAACACAAUGCUCACAAAACUCCAAGUUGCAAGCCUUGACUCCUUUUAACAAUCCUUGAUCUGAUAGAGUUUUCAAGGAUUUUCCUCCAGCAUGUCCCAAGCGCAUGUGCCAUAGCUUGGUUGCUUCUGCCUCUUUGUCAUUACUGGAUGUCACUGUCGCUGUCCCAAUAACUGUACUACCACGAUAGCGGUACAUAUUAUUGUUCUUCCGAUUAGCCUUCAUUACCACUAGUGCACCUGAGCAUACUCUCAUCACUCCAUUUUCUACAAUGAUUUUGAACCCUUUUGAUUUAAGGGCUCCCACAGAGAUGAGAUUCUUCUUCAAGUCUGGUACAUAUCGAACAUCUGUUAAUGUUCUGAUCAUUCCAUCAUGGUUCCUUAAUCGUAUUGAACCAAUCCCAUAUGAGGUAAGAGGGCUGUUAUCCGCUGUGUGAAUGAUUCCAUAUUCUCCUUCUUGAAAAUCCACGAACCAGUCCCUGUUGGGACACAUAUGAUAGCUACAAGCCGAGUCCAUCAACCAUAUGUCUGAUGGUGUUGAUGACUCUGUUGUAACUAAUGAGAAGUCUGGAUCAUCACAAUCAGCUACAUUUGAAUCCAUAAUGGCCUUUCCAUUAUUAUAUUUGGACUUAUUCUUCAACUUCGGACAGUCUUUCUUCCAGUGCCCUUUUUCUCGACAAAAGGCACAUUCAUCUUUGCUGGGUCUGGAUCUUGACUUGGAUCUUCCCUUCUUUGUCCUCGUUUGAUUUUGAGGACGACCCCUCACAAACAGUGUUUCUCCUUCUCCGCCCUUCUGUUUUUCUCGCUUUCUUUGUUCAUAACUGUACAAAGCCGAGCAAACUUCUCUGAGAGAAACUUCGUCAUUUCCAUGGAGUAGAGUAGUUUCAAGGUGCUCGUACUCAUCAGGAAGUGACGCCAACAACAUCAAGGCCAAGUCACCAUAAUCAUAAUUUGUAUCCAUAUUUUGCAAAUCUGUGACCAACUUAUUGAAACUGGUGAUAUGUUCCUUCAUCGUGGUACCAGGAACAUAGGUGAAGUGAAAUAGUCUCUUCUUCAUGUACAAUUUAUUUUGACUGUUUUUCUUCAAAAAUUUAUCCUCCAGUGCUUUCCAUAAUUUACUUGUAGAAGUUUCCUUUAUGUAUGGAUAUUUCUGCUCUAUAGCAAGGUAGGAUCGAAUGGUACCGCAAGCAACACGGUUGAUAAUUCUCUAAUCUUCUUCUCCAAUAACAUCUGGUUUCUUUUCUUCAAUGGCCAGAUCUAGCCCUUGUUGAAAAAGGACAUCUAGAACCUCGCCUUGCCACAUCCCAAAAUGUCUAGACCCGUCAAAAAUUUCUACCGCAAAUUUCGCAUUUGACACAAUUCUUGUCAUAAGCGAAGAUGCCAAUGAUGACGUAUUUUUGACUCUUGAUGUAGAUUCUUCUUGUUUAUUGUCUCCCAUAUUUGACACAAAUAUUAUUUAAUAACUGACGACACAAAUCAAGAUUAUUUCCUUUCUGAUGUAGAAGAUCAGACUAAGCUGCAACUACAGAGCAUACUCAGACAGAACCUUGACUCAGUUACCAAGAUAAAUCUUUUCUGAUGUGGAAGAUCAGACUAUGCUGCAACCACAGAGCAUACCUAGACAGUACCUUGGCUCUGAUACCAAUUGUUGCGGAAGCCAAAUGUAUAUAGUGUGAAUAAGUCACAACUACUAUACCAAAAAUUAUGACAGCCACCAAAUAAGACAAUAAAGCAACAAUAAAGGAAACACCAGAAUUUACGAGGUUCGGCUAAUUUUGCCUACUCCUCUGACACAACCAAUAUUUUAUUCCACUCCAAAAAUACAAGUGAAAUAAUACUAAAGAGAGAAGAUACAAAUGCCUUAAACAGAUGAGAAGGCAAAUGAGAGGUGUGUCUAAAUCCUAAACAUUAAGCCUCCUUUUAUAGGAAAAAGUUUCCCACCAACUCCUUAACCCACCGAUGUGAGAUGAAAAUUUGACAUAUAAUUCAACAAUAAGCAGGCACUCAUAUAUAUUUCAAUAUCGCUCUUUCACUAUCAUCGAAUACACACCACUACUUAGUGAGUGUAUUUGCUCAAAAGUUUGCAAAUUUAUGGAUCUCAUUCUUGAAUACUUCAACAUAUGCAGUAAAAACUCAGAACAAAAUUGUGAAACCUUUUACCAAUUUAAUAUUAGAGAAGAAGAAGAAGUAGAAUAUAGCAAAGCAGUAAAGGAAAUUCCAAACGAGUAACUCAGAAGAGCAAGGUUGAAAAAGGAAGAAAAGGAGCAACUCAAAAGAUGAGGCAUACCUGGAUUCACAAACGGAGGUUGAAAACUAGGGUAGACCUUCGAUUCACAAAUCAACAAAUUCGUAACCUUUGCUUUGAAAAAAACAAAAAUUUUGAGAGAUUGAUAGAGGGAGGCAGAGCAGCUGCGUGCGCUAUUGCGUUUUGAGACUAGGGCAGAUCGA
This 8943-nucleotide long non-coding RNA is filed under the name Nicotiana tabacum (common tobacco). RNAcentral describes it as "long non-coding RNA (NTAB_LNC008403)". Lineage: Eukaryota; Viridiplantae; Streptophyta; Magnoliopsida; Solanales; Solanaceae. The record is from RNAcentral.